This 3360-nucleotide long non-coding RNA is filed under the name Pan troglodytes (chimpanzee). Its description in RNAcentral is "long non-coding RNA NONPTRT014273". Lineage: Eukaryota; Metazoa; Chordata; Mammalia; Primates; Hominidae. The record is from RNAcentral.
CGAGGGCCCUCCCCUGCCCUGCACACGUGGUAUUUCACUAUCAGGUAUGAAUGGGGGUGGGGACCUCUGAUGGGCAAGGGUGGGGGACAGCCAAGUCCUGAAUCCUUCGUGUGUGGCCCAGGCAGGGCGUGAGGAUGAGCUGACAAUCACGGAGGGUGAGUGGCUGGAGGUCAUAGAGGAGGGAGAUGCUGACGAAUGGGUCAAGGUGGGUAUGGGACCCCGGGCUCUGACCUUGGGUUGGGGGCAGUAGGAGGGACUUCUCUGUGGCCUCCAUAGACCCUUCUAGGCAAAGCUAGAAGCCUGAGUAGAAGAGAGCCAGGGUCAUGGACUGCUGAGGUAAGUCUAAUAUCUGUUCACAUUGCUGGGUGAGCAGGCUCGGAACCAGCACGGCGAGGUAGGCUUUGUCCCUGAGCGAUAUCUCAACUUCCCGGACCUCUCCCUCCCAGAGAGCAGCCAAGACAGUGACAAUCCCUGCGGGGCAGAGCCCACAGCAUUCCUGGCACAGGCCCUGUACAGCUACACCGGACAGAGUGCAGAGGAGCUGAGCUUCCCUGAGGGGGCACUCAUCCGUCUGCUGCCCCGGGCCCAAGAUGGAGUAGAUGACGGCUUCUGGAGGGGAGAAUUUGGGGGCCGUGUUGGGGUCUUCCCCUCCCUGCUGGUGGAAGAGCUGCUUGGCCCCCCAGGGCCACCUGAACUCUCUGACCCUGAACAGACAAAGCCCUGGACUUCCCCGGGUUCCUGGACAUGAUGGCACCUCGACUCAGGCCGGUAAGGACCCUUGCCUUGGAGGAGAUUGUAUGUAGAGGGGUUAUUCCAACCAGUCCUGUUUUGUCUGCAGGGCUGAGGGAAUAGACAGGGAUACCCUUAAGGGAGAACUCUGGAGCACUAACUGUGUGUUCCCUACAGAUGCGUCCACCACCUCCCCCGCCGGCUAAAGCCCCGGAUCCUGGCCACCCAGAUCCCCUCACCUGAAGGCCAGGGAAGCCUUGACCCCCAGUGAUGCUGCUGUCCCUAUCUUCAAGCUGUCAGACCACACCAUCAAUGAUCCAGAGCAACACAGCCAAAAGCUGGAAUCGCCCUUAUUUCCACCCUCACCUCCAAGGGUGGAAACUUGCCCCUUCCCAUUUCUGGAGCUGGAACCCACUCCUUUUUUUCCCAUUGUUCUAUCAUCUCUAGGACCGGAACUACUACUUUCUCUUCUGUCAUCACCCUAUCUAGGGUGGUGAAAUGCCUGAAAUCUCUGGGGCUGGAAACCAUCCAUCAAGGUCUCUAGUGGUUCUGGCCCACCUCUUUCCCCACCCUGGCUCCAUGACCCACCCCACUCUGGAUGCCAGGGUCACUGGGGUUGGGCUGGGGAGAGGAACAGGCCUUGGGAAUCAGGAGCUGGAGCCAGGAUUCGAAGCAGCUGUAAUGGUCUGAGCGGAUUUAUUGACAAUGAAUAAAGGGCACGAAGGCCAGGCCAGGGCCUGGGCCUCUUGUGCUAAGAGGGCAGGGGGCCUACGGUGCUAUUGCUUUAGGGGCCCACCACGGGCAGGGGCCUGCUCCCAGCUGCCACGCUCUAUCACAUGGAGCGAGGUGUUGGGGAAGGCGGGGCAGGCAGCCUGUUGCAGGCAGGGGAAGGAGAAGAGACUGAGGGGCUGUGACCUCUCCUGAGGCCCCCAGCCUGAGACUGUGCAACUCCAGGUGGAAGUAGAGCUGGUCCCUCAGCUGGGGGGCAGUGCUGUUCAGUGGAGGGGAGGGCUUUCACGCCCACCCACCCCCUGGCCCUGCCAGCUGGUAGUCCAUCAGCACAAUGAAGGAGACUUGGAGAAGAGGAAGAAUAACACUGUUGCUUCCUGUUCAAGCUGUGUCCAGCUUUUCCCCUGGGGCUCCAGGACCUUCCCUACCUGCACCACCAAACCAAGGGAUUUAUAGCAAAGGCUAAGCCUGCAGUUUACUCUGGGGGUUCAGAGAGCCGAAAGGCUUAAAUAGUUUAAGUAGGUGAUGGGAAGAUGAGAUUACCUCAUUUAGGGCUCAGGCAGACUCACCUCACAUACUACCUGCUCCCUGUGGUAGAGACACCUGAGAGAAAGGGGAGGGGUCAACAAUGAGAGACCAGGAGUAGGUCCUAUCAGUGCCCCCCAGAGUAGAGAGCAAUAAGAGCCCAGCCCAGUGCAGUCCCGGCUGUGUUUUCCUACCUGGUGAUCAGAAGUGUCUGGUUUGCUUGGCUGCCCAUUUGCCUCUUGAGUGGGCAGCCCUGGGCUUGGGCCCCUCCCUCCGGCCCUCAGUGUUGGCUCUGCAGAAGCUCUGGGGUUCCCUUCAAGUGCACGAGGGGCUAGGCUGCUGUCCCUGAGUCCUCCAUUCUGUACUGGGGGGCUGGCUAGGACCUGGGGCUGUGGCCUCUCAGGGGGCAGCCUCUCCAUGGCAGGCAUCCCUGCCUUGGGCUGCCCUCCCCCAGACCCCUGACCACCCCCUGGGUCCUGUCCCCCACCAGAGCCCCAGCUCCUGUCCAUGGGGGAGCCAUCACGGUGUUCGUGCAGUCCAUAGCGCUUCUCAAUGUGUGUCACCCGGAACCUGGGAGGGGAGGGAACACUGGGGUUUAGGACCACAACUCAGAGGCUGCUUGGCCCUCCCCUCUGACCAGGGACAUCCUGAGUUUGGUGGCUACUUCCCUCUGGCCUAAGGUAGGGGAGGCCUUCUCAGACUGUGGGGCACAUUGUGUAGCCUGACUUCUGCCGGAGCUCCCAGUCCAGGAGGAAAGAGCCAAGGCCCACUUUUGGGAUCAGGUGCCUGAUCAUUGGGCCCCCUACCUCAGCCUCCCUUUCCCUGGAGCACCUGCCCCACCUGCCCACAGAGAACACAGUGGUCUCCCCUGUCCGGGGGCGGCUUUUUCCUUCCUUGGAGCGUCCCUGACGGACAAGUGGAGGCCUCUUGCUGCGGCUGCAAUGGAUGCAAGGGGCUGCAGAGCCCAGGUGCACUGUGUGAUGAUGGGAGGGGGCUCCGUCCUGCAGGCUGGAGGUGGCAUCCACACUGGACAGCAGGGAGGAGGGGAGUAAGGGUAACAUUUCCAUUUCCCUUCAUGUUUUGUUUCUUACGUUCUUUCAGCAUGCUCCUUAAAACCCCAGAAGCCCCAAUUUCCCCAAGCCCCAUUUUUUCUUGUCUUUAUCUAAUAAACUCAAUAUUAAGAUGUUAGUGACCAUAUGUUCUUCCUCCCAGGGCUGUUUGCUAAAAAGAACACUGCUUAACCCAAAGGAGUGGCACUAGAGGUGAAUGUUAGGCUUGAUGAUAUCUAGAUGAGAGAGAUGGUUUGAAGGAAUCGCGAUUUCUACAAAACAACUUUCUUCCUAUAAGUUAGCCAGCUUUGCCCUUCCCCCAACCCCA